UACAGAGGUGGCAAGCGUUGUUCGGAAUUACUGGGCGUAAAGGGCGCGUAGGCGGUCCCGUCAGUCCCUUGUGAAAUCCCCCGGCUCAACUGGGGAACUGCAAGGGAUACAGCGGGGCUUGAGUUCGGGAGAGGGAAGCGGAAUUCCGGGUGUAGCGGUGAAAUGCGCAGAUAUCAGGAGGAACACCAGCGGCGAAGGCGGCGCUCUGGGCCGAUACUGACGCUGAGGAGCGAAAGCGUGGGGAGCGAACAGG
This 253-nucleotide ribosomal RNA is filed under the name uncultured bacterium. Its description in RNAcentral is "partial 16S ribosomal RNA". It matches the Rfam family "Bacterial small subunit ribosomal RNA", at positions 524 to 776 of the family's 1533-position model. The record is from RNAcentral.